This 606-nucleotide long non-coding RNA is filed under the name Ricinus communis (castor bean). RNAcentral describes it as "long non-coding RNA (RCOM_LNC000851)". The record is from RNAcentral. Lineage: Eukaryota; Viridiplantae; Streptophyta; Magnoliopsida; Malpighiales; Euphorbiaceae.
AAGAAAGACAUUAUAAGAAUUUUGAAAAUAUAAUGGAAAUGUCUUUUUUUCUUUCCCAAUUUUGGAGACAAAUUUCUUCUCCUCCAUCUUUAGGUUUCAAGAGAGACAUUAUAAGAAUUUCUAAAAAUAUAGUGGAAAUGUCUUUUUUUCUUUCCCAAUUCUGGAGAUAAAUUUCUAUCUAGGAAACCCACUCCAAAGAUUCUCUCUUAAAAGAUCUCAAAUCCAUCUCCUAUUGGGUAGUUCAUAGGAUGGUGGCUUCCUACAUUCAUGCUAGAGAUAAUGGAGUGGAGAAAGUGCCUUAAAAGGAUCUUUUAUUUCUUUGUGCUAUGAUCCAUGGUAAGAUGAUUCUCACCUCCAAAUUCGUUCUUAAACACCUCUUUUAACUUGGGAACACCUAAAAAGGAGCAUUCUUGUCUCAUCCCACAUUACCAAAAUACCCAAGCACCUCAAUCUUCUCACCCCUCUCAACAAAACCUACCUCACUUCUCUAAUAGUUCUAAUCUCCUUAAGACUACCAUUUUUUGAGCAUGAUAAAGUCAUUAGAUUAAGUCCAAGAUGGGAAAUUAUUCAAUAUAGAUAAUAAGAAGAAAAGAGAAAAAUGAUCAU